This 72-nucleotide transfer RNA is filed under the name Salmo salar (Atlantic salmon). It matches the Rfam family "tRNA". Rfam says of the family: Transfer RNA (tRNA) molecules are approximately 80 nucleotides in length. Their secondary structure includes four short double-helical elements and three loops (D, anti-codon, and T loops). Lineage: Eukaryota; Metazoa; Chordata; Actinopteri; Salmoniformes; Salmonidae. The record is from Rfam by way of RNAcentral.
GCCAAAAAGCUCAGUUGAGAGAGCGUUAGACUAAAGAUCUAAAGGUCCCAGGUCCGAUCCCGGGUUUCGGCA